This 72-nucleotide transfer RNA is filed under the name Camelus bactrianus (Bactrian camel). It matches the Rfam family "tRNA". From Rfam's summary of the family: Transfer RNA (tRNA) molecules are approximately 80 nucleotides in length. Their secondary structure includes four short double-helical elements and three loops (D, anti-codon, and T loops). Lineage: Eukaryota; Metazoa; Chordata; Mammalia; Artiodactyla; Camelidae. The record is from Rfam by way of RNAcentral. RNAcentral also lists the same sequence under 1 other name.
GAGGGUACAGCUCAGUGGUAGAGUGUAUGCUUAGCAUGCACGAGAUCAUGGGUUCAAUCCCCAGUACCUCCA